RNAcentral lists this non-coding RNA (26 nucleotides) under Homo sapiens (human). The record is from RNAcentral. Lineage: Eukaryota; Metazoa; Chordata; Mammalia; Primates; Hominidae.
CUAUGCCGUCCUACCUGCUGUCAAGU